GUUAAAAUGAAGUAUUAUUUUUAAUUCAGCACAGGACACGCUCAUUAGUUUUGAGUUAAUAUCAAUUUGAAUACAAACGUUUGAGAAAUCGUGAGGAACUUAAUUUUAGUAAGACUUGCUAAUUUGCAGACGCAAUGAAUUUUAAUCGGAUUUAAAUUAAAUAGCUGGAUUAUAAAGAGUGUUUUGAAAGCUAAAUCAUGUACAAAGACUUAUACAGAUGAUUAGAAAUGAGGAAAUAAUCUUAAACGUGUUGUAUUGAAAAGAUCGGGUUGCAUGCUAAAGAAACUAUAUCGAAAUGCGACCAGCCUAGGAUAUGUCAACAGGGUACAGCUGUUGCCCCCCUUUGGUUGAUGUUAAACUAAUGAUAAGCAGUAAAAAUUAUACAUUAAAGAUGGAUAUAUGCAGACAGCACGGAAGCUUCUGAUCUGUAGGUCUCAACGGGCGACCUUUUAGAAGGCCGUCUUUGGUUGUCCUGCAUGAACCAGAAGCAAAGCUGGGUGCUUUUGGAGUUGGGCAAAUCUCGGACUUUCCAAUGCAGUUGUCUUAGUUAUCUAAUGGUGUAUAUCAACAUUCUCCCACAAAUAAUAGAAAUGGACUUCUGUUGUAAAAUGUAUCUUACGCAAUCAUGGGCCGAAUGCUUAUUCUCCGACUAAUGUGUUUAGAUGCUUAAGAAACACAAUCGGCCAAUACAAUCCUAAAAUCUGAAAACCCGGCGUCACAGUUAUCCCCUUUCUGCUGAUUCGACGGCUUGCAGUUUGAGGACAAGCAUGUAUUGGUGAAACAAAAUCAAGACAAGGAUCAGAUGGAACAGAGUUCUACAAGUUAACAUAAUUGCGGUAAUAUUGAACACCAUUUAUCGAUCAAUCAAUGCGGCUUCAUGGUUGUCUCUCUUUUCCUGAAUUCGUUGAUGACUCAGAAGAUUGAAGAUGUUCAGAAAAUUCGUCAUACACUGAAACUCUAAACUUGAGAUCACCUGAGGUACUUCCUGGUAGGAUGUGGUCCGGAGUUGCCAGGAUAUCAGUUUAAACCCCCUAUUUAAGAUAGAUACGGGCAGACAACAUUGUUUCCCUGAUCUGAUGGUCACAAGGUGCGCUUUUUGGCAUCAUGCGGUCCUGGUUUGCCCGGCAUGAUCCGGCGGAAGCAAAGGUAGAUGUCGUCUGCUAUUAUAACUUACAGUCAUGCUCGGAUAUUAUUGCAAGACAGAGAGAUAUUCCUAUACGAACAGAUGACCCGCACUGAAUCCCUGAUAUUGAGGUCAAAAGAAGCAUUUCAUGGCAGGAUGUCGUUCUAUGUUACCCUGCAUUUACCAGAAAUGAAGAUAGAUGGCUAGAUAUACUUAUACGACCCGCGCUGAAUCCAAGAUAUUGAGAUCACAAGAGAUGCAGAUAGAUGGCUAGAUAUGACUUAACGAGCAGAAGACCUACACUCAAUCCCUGAUAUUGAGAUCACAAGAGGAAUUUCAUGGCAGGAUGUUGUUCUAGGAUGUCCGGCAUUCACAAGAAAUGCAGAUAGAUGGCUAGAUUGGUCAGAGCUUGACACCAUACAGAUACACCUGAAGAGAUAUUGAUAUAUUAUGCCUAAACGAGCAGACGACCCACACUGAAUCCCUGAUAUUGAGGUCAGAAGAGGCCUUUCUAUGGUGCCCUGAAUUCACCAGAAAUGCAGAUAGAUGGAUAUACCUAUACGACCAGCACUGAAUCCAAGAUAUUGAAAUCAAAAGAGGCAUUUCCCUGCAGGAUGUUGUUCUAUGCUGGCCGGCAUUCAAAAGCUACAUGGCUAGAUCGCUAUUUGAACAGACGACCCACACUCAAUUCCUGAAAUUGAGGUCACCAGAGGCAUUUCAUGGCAGGAUGUUGUUUCAGGAUGUUGGUAUUCAACAAAGAUGUAUAGAGAUGACCGGAUUGCCUAUACGAGCAGACGACCCACACUCAAUUCCUGAUAUUGAGGUCACCAGAGGCAUUUCAUGGCAGGAUGUUGUUCCAGAAUGUUCGGCAUUCAACAGAUAUGCAGAUAGAUGACCGGUUAGAGGAAUAUAAGCAGACUUCCCAAACUAAGUCCCUGAUGUGGAGGUCACAUGGGGCUCUUCCUGGCAGGAUAUAGUAAUUAGAUGUCCGGCGAAGACAAGACUAACAUGUCGAUAGCUAGAUACAUGUGAUGCAUUUUGGCAACGACCAAUUUCAAAAAAGUUGACUUUAAUUUGAAGCUUUUAUUGGCGUAUCAAGUUGACAAUUACAAGAAUAUGUACAUACGAUCAUAAAACAGAGUGAUGCAUUUAACAUGUGUGUCGAUUCAUUACGUUAUAUGUUACAUCUGCCCAUGGAUGAAAAGCUGAUUAAUCGCAUUUAAAGCAAUUGCAAAUAAUAAAGUGUGUUCCAUUUUUCUCUGGUCUCAAUUCAGUCAUUAGCAAUACAUGUAUAACUUUGUUUAUAUGGAAAAUCAUGUGUUUUAGGUAUACACAUUUGUUACUUCUUUAUCUUUAUUUCUGAAGUACUGUAUUGUUUACGAAAUUUCGGGUAAGCCGACUUCCAUGGCGGAAAACG
This is a long non-coding RNA of Mya arenaria, 2540 nucleotides long. RefSeq lists it as uncharacterized. The transcript is spliced from 15 exons. Lineage: Eukaryota; Metazoa; Mollusca; Bivalvia; Myida; Myidae. The record is from RefSeq and is a predicted model, not a curated record.